UACACAUGCAGUCGAGCGGUAAGCAGAGUCCAGCUUCGCUGUGACGCUGACGAGCGGCGGACGGGUGAGUAAUGCGGAGGAAUCUACCCGGUCGUGGGGGAUAACCUGGGGAAACCCAGGCUAAUACCGCAUACGUCCUACGGGAGAAAGCGGGGGCUCUUCGGACCUCGCGCGAUUGGAUGAGCCUAUGUCGGAUUAGCUGGUUGGUGGGGUAACGGCUCACCAAGGCGACGAUCCGUAGCUGGUCUGAGAGGAUGAUCAGCCACACUGGGACUGAGACACGGCCCAGACGCCUACGGGAGGCAGCAGUGGGGAAUAUUGGACAAUGGGCGAAAGCCUGAUCCAGCCAUGCCGCGUGUGUGAAGAAGGCUUUCGGGUUGUAAAGCACUUUCAGUGGGGAAGAAGGCUUGUCGGCCAAUACCCGGCCAGAGCGACAUCACCCACAGAAGAAGCACCGGCUAACUCCCUGCCAGCAGCCGCGGUAAUACGGAGGGUGCAAGCGUUAAUCGGAAUUACUGGGCGUAAAGCGCGCGUAGGCGGCUUGUCACGCCNGGUGUGAAAGCCCCGGGCUCAACCUGGGAACGGCAUCCGGAACGGGCAGGCUAGAGUGCAGGAGAGGAAGGUAGAAUUCCCGGUGUAGCGGUGAAAUGCGUANAGAUCGGGAGGAAUACCAGUGGCGAAAGCGGCCUUCUGGACUGACACUGACGCUGAGGUGCGAAAGCGUGGGUAGCACACAGGAUUAGAUACCCUGGUAGUCCACGCCGUAAACGAUGUCGACUACCCGUUGGGUCCCUUGAGGACUUAGUGUCGCACUUAACGCGAUAAGUCUACCGCCUGGGGAGUACGGCCGCAAGGUGAAACUCAAAUGAAUGACCGGGGGCGCGGCACAAGCGGUGUAUCAUGUGGGUGUAAUUCAUGCACGCCACGAGCCUUACCUACCCUGACAUCCUGCAACCCGGACCAGAUUCAUGGUGCGUGGGGAGCGAAGAGACAGUGCUGCAUGGCUGUCGUGGCUCAUCUCUGAGAUGGUGAGGUAGU
RNAcentral lists this ribosomal RNA (1038 nucleotides) under Chromohalobacter israelensis. RNAcentral's name for it is "bacterial SSU rRNA". It matches the Rfam family "Bacterial small subunit ribosomal RNA", at positions 50 to 1085 of the family's 1533-position model. The record is from RNAcentral. Lineage: Bacteria; Pseudomonadati; Pseudomonadota; Gammaproteobacteria; Oceanospirillales; Halomonadaceae.